GACGAACCGUGCGACCGUUGUUCGGAAUCACUGGGCUUAAAGGGCGCGUAGGCGGGCUAUCAAGUCCGGGGUGAAAUCCUCCAGCUUAACUGGAGAACUGCCUCGGAUACUGAUGGUCUCGAGGAGGAUAGGGGCACACGGAACUGUGGGUGGAGCGGUGAAAUGCGUUGAUAUCCAUAGGAACUCCGGUGGCGAAAGCGGUGUGCUGGAUCCUUUCUGACGCUGAGGCGCGAAAGCCAGGGGAGCAAACGGG
Molecule: ribosomal RNA, 253 nt
Filed under: uncultured bacterium
Lineage: Bacteria
Description: partial 16S ribosomal RNA
Rfam family: Bacterial small subunit ribosomal RNA
Source: RNAcentral